This 375-nucleotide ribosomal RNA is filed under the name uncultured bacterium. Its description in RNAcentral is "bacterial SSU rRNA". It matches the Rfam family "Bacterial small subunit ribosomal RNA", at positions 28 to 402 of the family's 1533-position model. The record is from RNAcentral.
GACGAACGCUGGCGGCGUGCUUAACACAUGCAAGUCGAGCGGUAACAGGUGUAGCAAUACAUGCUGACGAGCGGCGGACGGGUGAGUAACGCUUGGGAAUCUGCCUGUUAGUGGGGGACAACCCGGGGGAAACUCGGGCUAAUACCGCAUACGCACUACGGUGGAAAGCCGGGGACCGCAAGGCCUGGCGCUAACAGAUGAGCCCAAGUCGGAUUAGCUAGUUGGUAGGGUAACGGCCUACCAAGGCGACGAUCCGUAACUGGUCUGAGAGGACGACCAGUCACACCGGAACUGAGACACGGUCCGGACUCCUACGGGAGGCAGCAGUGGGGAAUAUUGGACAAUGGGCGAAAGCCUGAUCCAGCGACGCCGCGU